This 447-nucleotide ribosomal RNA is filed under the name Tridacna mbalavuana. RNAcentral's name for it is "partial 16S ribosomal RNA". It matches the Rfam family "Bacterial large subunit ribosomal RNA", at positions 1862 to 2606 of the family's 2925-position model. Lineage: Eukaryota; Metazoa; Mollusca; Bivalvia; Cardiida; Cardiidae. The record is from RNAcentral.
CCCGGUGCCCUGCGGGGUUAACGGCGGUGUUAAACCUUAAAGUAGCGUGAUAAGUCGGCCUUUAAUUGGGGUCUGGUAUGAAGGGGUUGACGUCGGAGAAGCUGUCUCAAAAGAAUUUUGUGAAAUUUACUUUCUAGUGAAAAGGCUAGAAUAAUAUUAAAAGACGAGAAGACCCUGUCGAGCUUGAGGGAUUUGAUUGUUACAAAAACAUGAUUAGGAGUUUGGCUGGGGAAGCAAUGGAGGUAGCCUCCGUUUUUAAAUCAUAGAUCCAUUAUGUAAAUAAUAAUGAUAAAAGGAAAAAGCUACCGCAGGGAUAACAGCACAAGACCGCCCCAGAGGUCGUAUCGAAGGCGGUGAGUGUGACCUCGAUGUUGGAUUAAGGUGAACCAUUUCGUGCAGGAGCGAAAAAUGGUGGGACUGUUCUUCCUUUAAUACCUUACGUGAUCU